This 530-nucleotide long non-coding RNA is filed under the name Mytilus galloprovincialis (Mediterranean mussel). Lineage: Eukaryota; Metazoa; Mollusca; Bivalvia; Mytilida; Mytilidae. The record is from RNAcentral.
GAUAAAUUAAAACAAUCUUUACCAUUCAGUGAUAACAAGCACUUUUUUUACAUUUUAAUAUUUUAUGAUGUAUUUAAAUGAGUAAUUAUUGUUGCAAACUCCAUUAGAAAUUUGAAUUGAGAUCGGUUAUGGAAUAAAGGAAAAGGGGAUGUGAAAAAAAAAUUGAGGGGGGGGGGUUAAAUUUUUCUCAUUUGAAAUUUCAUAAAUAAAAAGAAAAUUUCUUCAAACAUUUUUUUGAGAGGAUUAAUAUUCAACAGCAUAGUGAACUUCUGUGGUGUAAGUAUGAUGCGUUAAUAAAAUCACAUUUGGUGGUGAAUGAGUAGUAUAAACGGCCGCGAAGGUUACAAAUAUGAUGUUAAUUGUCUUCUAAUUGUUGAAAUUAUAAUUCUUAAAAUUUUAAAUCAAAAGUUACCCACAUCUAAAAAUAAAGUUACGGACAGUCUGCUUAGUUUCGAUCAAAAAGUUACGGACAUCUUAUGCAUUUUUUAAAGUUGACCUUGCGCUUUAGUGAACUCUAUAUUAACAAAUUU